GCCGGGCAUGGUGGCUCAUGCCUGUAGUCCCAGCUACUCGGGAGGCUGAGGCAGAAGAAUCGCUUGAACCCAGGAGAUGGAGGUUGCAGUGAGCCAAGAUCGUGCCACUGCACUCCAGCCUGGGUGACAGAGUGAGACUCUGUCUCAA
Pongo abelii (Sumatran orangutan) is the source of this 148-nucleotide unclassified non-coding RNA. It matches the Rfam family "Metazoan signal recognition particle RNA". Rfam says of the family: The signal recognition particle (SRP) is a universally conserved ribonucleoprotein. It is involved in the co-translational targeting of proteins to membranes. The record is from Ensembl. NCBI's taxonomy places the organism in Eukaryota, Metazoa, Chordata, Mammalia, Primates, Hominidae.